GCCGCUUUAGCUCAGUCGGUAGAGCAUCUCACUCGUAAUGAGAAGGUCGCGAGUUCGAUUCUCGCAAGCGGCU
Molecule: transfer RNA, 73 nt
Filed under: Corynebacterium camporealensis
Lineage: Bacteria; Bacillati; Actinomycetota; Actinomycetes; Mycobacteriales; Corynebacteriaceae
Also listed under: 3 other names
Rfam family: tRNA
About the family: Transfer RNA (tRNA) molecules are approximately 80 nucleotides in length. Their secondary structure includes four short double-helical elements and three loops (D, anti-codon, and T loops).
Source: Rfam by way of RNAcentral